UUGUUUGUCACCAGCCAUUGUCGUGGAGGAAGCCAACUUGUUGUUCUGGUACAUGUGAAAUUGUGAAUUGGUUGAUCUUCAAAUUGAAGAACUGAAUUUAACUUUAACUUUAUAGUGAACAGUGGUAAAUCAUAAUAACGUGGUAUAAAUGGGCGAAAGCGAGACAUUAACAUUGAGAUGUUGACGUGUGGAUUGAUGAAGAAAGCUUUCAAGCAUGGUGUCUAAAGCUCAUGCAUCACCCAUACUGGAAAUGUACCUGAACAAUUAUCUCCUCGGAAACAGUGUUCCACCUAAUCAGACUGAAUGUGGCAACAGGCUCUGGAUCGACCUAAAGGAUUCUUCUCUACUCUGGAACCAGGAAGGAUGACAACCGCCCGGACAACCGUUCUUCCAGUCUUCACACUCUGUAUGAUCCUGCCCCUUAACUCAACCUUUGCUAGCGAGCGCAAUUCAUUCCUUUUUCCUUAUUCAUCUGGAUUUGGAUCUCACACCAGGAAUCUUCAUCGAACUUAGUCAGUUACGAUUUGAGGCCAUCGUAACAACAUGAUACACAAGUUCUGCUUGUGCUGAGUCUGUCAUCAGUCUGUCUGUCUCACCUAACAUCACCGAAUAUCUCAGCAUCUUCACUUAGAUAAAAAGCAUCCCUUUGCAUUGGAAAAACUACCGAUGUCAAUCGAGUUACGCAUCUCUUCUUUACCCCUUUCUUUAAAUGUCCUCGUGUACGCCCAUGUGAAUGUGGGUGUAUUCACGAGGACACCCUUUUUACCCUAUCCUGUCUGGUGUAAUUGAACUCUUCAACGGAUGGAUGGAGCAACUGACGUAGAUGCCUGGCUGUAUUUCCCAGGCAUAAAGUUGGGGGUCGCUUUUUGGAGAACUACUUCCUUCAGCGGACAGCCGAGGACAGAGAUGGGAGCCGAAUUUUCUCCAACCUUGCCGAUUCACACGCACCUGAUAAAUUCACAGUUUCGAGCGUCGGACGGAGGCAUGUGAAGUGCAGGGAAGGAACGCGCCAAAGAUCAUGAGAGUUCGGUAACGCACACCUGUGAAGACAAAAUCCCCUCUCCCUGGAACUAUUCACAGUGGCAUCAUGUGAACUCCCAAGUUACAAACUUCGUUGGGGUCCGUUACGAGUUCAAAUGUGUGGGACCGGGAAAAUACACCACGAAACACAAUUGAGCAUGCGUCGCUAGAUGCCACUGAUGUCAUUGUUUCGAACUUCAAGAACUCAGUGGCUUUCUGUUGGAUUAUUUCAAAACAACUUCAGCCUAAGAAUUUGAAUUAAAAGUUAUGGAGCUAGGUCCGUAUGUAAAACAGUGUUUGAAACUUAGAUUCGGUUGCAGUGGAAUAUUUAAAAAAAAAAAAAAAAAAAAAAAAAGACUGUCCUUCAAAUGGUUCGAAAUGGAAGAUUUAUUCAUUCCCGAAGAAACGAGUCAAAUGACUCAAAUGUAUCUGGUAUAAAGUGUCAAAAGUGAGUUUUAAGCCAUAACUAUUUAUAGUAUUCAUUUUGAUAUUGGUUGUUGUAGACCCAUCCCCAGCAAU
Molecule: long non-coding RNA, 1539 nt
Organism: Daphnia pulex (common water flea)
Lineage: Eukaryota; Metazoa; Arthropoda; Branchiopoda; Diplostraca; Daphniidae
Exons: 9
Source: RefSeq, a predicted model, not a curated record